GUAAGCUACAGUUGCAUGAACAACGUUAAGUCUAUAAUCACCAAACACAACGCACAUAUAAUUAGGAACAGUCAAUCACAGAAUACGGAAACUGACAACUGUAACUGCGACAACAAAAACACUUGCCCACUACCGAAACAAUGCAUGACCAACAACAUUAUUUACAAAGCAACAGUCACAACGAACAACACAAACGAAACUAAACACUACAUUGGUAUGACAGCGACUACAUUUAAGGAACGUUACGCUAACCACACUUCAUCUUUUCGUCAUAAAAAAGACUCAAACAAAACGGAACUUUCGAAACAUAUUUGGAAAUUAAAAG
Molecule: long non-coding RNA, 325 nt
Filed under: Paramuricea clavata
Lineage: Eukaryota; Metazoa; Cnidaria; Anthozoa; Malacalcyonacea; Plexauridae
Source: RNAcentral